This 252-nucleotide ribosomal RNA is filed under the name uncultured bacterium. RNAcentral's name for it is "partial 16S ribosomal RNA". It matches the Rfam family "Bacterial small subunit ribosomal RNA", at positions 524 to 776 of the family's 1533-position model. The record is from RNAcentral.
UACGAAGGGGGCUAGCGUUGCUCGGAAUCACUGGGCGUAAAGGGUGCGUAGGCGGGUCUUUAAGUCAGGGGUGAAAUCCUGGGCUCAACUCCAGAACUGCCUUUGAUACUGAAGAUCUUGAGUUCGGGAGAGGUGAGUGGAACUGCGAGUGUAGAGGUGAAAUUCGUAGAUAUUCGCAAGAACACCAGUGGCGAAGGCGGCUCACUGGCCCGAUACUGACGCUGAGGCACGAAAGCGUGGGGAGCAAACAGG